This is a long non-coding RNA of Sapajus apella (tufted capuchin), 740 nucleotides long. RefSeq lists it as uncharacterized. The record is from RefSeq and is a predicted model, not a curated record. The transcript has 3 exons. Lineage: Eukaryota; Metazoa; Chordata; Mammalia; Primates; Cebidae.
AAGUAGAAAUUUUUUCUGAAUAAUCUAUAAAUUUUAUUUUUUUACAUUUCUAUAUGUAGUAUUUAAGAAAACAUUGUUGGUGAUUAUUAUUGGAAUAAUGGUCUGAAUGAAACCUGCUUUGGUAUGAGCUGAGAGUUUCCGAUCAGAUUGAUUUAGCUCCAGGUAUUCCUCCCAUUAUUGUAGAUGCUUAUUAGCAAAGCUUUUUAUGUAAUUUAGAUGAUAAUUUAUAUUCUGGAAAGAGUAGACUAUUUUGAAGUAAUGCUAUUCUUGUUAAACUAUGUUAUAAAGAAUCCUGAGAUCAGUCUAAGCACCUGCACACCCAUUUCUUCGAACAUUUGUAUAGAAAUAACAGAAAGAUGUCCUGUGAGUGUGGUGAGUGAUGUUUGCAUUGUUUAUUGAACUGUAGUAGAGCUAGAGGAUAGAUUGUGUUAUUAAUUGACAGAUAUUUUUGAGGAUUCCUAGAGGAUUGUUAAGAUAGUAAAUACGAUUAGAGAAACAACAGCUAGUAGAAAAAGUUACAGCAGGAGAAAGAAUAACUAAUAAGUGUUAGUUCACAGCUGAUCCUGGGCUUCUCAAGAGAGCCCUGGUGAAAGUGUGAAUUUGGAAUCAAGAGUUCAUAGUGGGAGCAUGGCUGUGUUGCCAUCACCAUGGUAGUUACAGAAGUUCAUUCAGAAUAGCAGGCUCAGUGGAGCCUUCUUUCUGUCCCCUUCAGAGUAGCUGGUAAGCCAGGCUUUCAUUUU